CUACGGCGACAAUUUCUGUCAGAUAGGUACUAUUUUAACAUUAUUCAAAAUUCUUCGCAUCCUCUUCAUAAUAAAAUAAGAUCCCUAAACUCUCUGACCAAUUUAAACUACUGGACACACAAAGACUUGCCUCUAUUAAUUAACUCAUAUAAAAAGAUUGACAUCUCCACAGUACAACAGACUCUAAAAAACCCCAUAUUCGAAUUUAAUUUUAAUAUACUCAUUUUUUGUCCCAAGGUUAUUUUAAACUUGGAAAUAAAUAAGAACUCUCCAGGAGCUAAUGCAGAGUUCAACAGAAUCUCUGAAAGGAACUGGCCAGGUUGGCUACAUCUUUAUACAGAUGCAUCUAAAAUUUCGGAUUCCGAUAAUGUAGGAGCAGCGGUCUGGAUUCCAAAGUAUAAAAUAAUCCUUAAUUAUAAAUGCCCACCUAAAUGUUCAAUAUUUACAGAUUCUCUUAGUUGCCUUCAGGACAUCAUUAAAAAACCAUUUCACUCAAAGGAUAAUUUUUACCUGACUCUCAAAAUUAAGGAAGUUUUAUUUAAAUGCCAACAAUCGGGGAUUGAAGUUAUUUUGGCAUGGAUCCCAAGCCACAGUGGCAUAACAGGAAAUGAAAUCGCUGACCAAUGCGCCAAGGAGGCUAUCCGCACAGGCAGAGAGGUGUAUAACAAAGAAUUUUCUAGAGAUAUUCGUUGUCUUGCUAAACCACAUUUACAUAAAUCAUGGACGGAAAGGUGGAACAAUUCUAGGCUCAUAAAGGGUUCAAUCUUCACCAUUGGACUAUCCACCGAUUAUUUUAACCUAACCGAUCAAAAUUAUAUUUUAAUGUUAAGUAUUUUCUCUUGAACCUUGACAUUGGCAGAAUCAUCGUUUCUGAACGAUGCAGCCACAAACAAAGAAAAUAGAAUAG
Molecule: long non-coding RNA, 907 nt
Organism: Pectinophora gossypiella (pink bollworm)
Lineage: Eukaryota; Metazoa; Arthropoda; Insecta; Lepidoptera; Gelechiidae
Exons: 3
Source: RefSeq, a predicted model, not a curated record